AAGUUCCAGCUUCCUGAGACCUCCCAUCAGCUGCUUCCCCUGUACUCUGGGGGGGGGGGAGAAGCUAAAGCUUGAAUCACUUCUGCUCCCACUUUAACUCUACCCUCAAAAAUGAACAAGACGGGAACCUAAGUGGUUACCCUAGAGAGACCCCAGGCUCCAAGCUGACCAGCCACGAGGAGCAGGGAGUGAGGGAAAAAAAAAAAAAACUUCCAAGCUUUUCAUGAGGCGUUUGGACAAAUCGCAAACUCCCAGCCCUCUCUAGGAGCAGCUGAAGAGGAAUGUCGUGCCGUCGGAAAGGAGCCUAGAGCUGUGAUUUGGGGACCGGAUUGUGUCCUCACUAACUACUCACCCCCUCCAAAAUAUCGUAGAAAGUGGACAGGCCCAGUUGGAAGCAUAUCACGAAGCCCGUAGGGGAAGCCAUGUCGGAUAAAGGUAAACAAAGCUAUCGUCCACUCCUUCCAUUACACCAUCCUGCCAGCUGAACCAUCUGACUCAACUCAGACCACGAGACAAUAUUAGCCACAGUCUUCUCACCUGGUCUCCUGUCCCUUUCGACACAGCCACCGUUCAGAGCUGGAAACCUCCUUUUUAUUAAGUCUGCACCAUUCUCACCACCUCCCACCUCAACCAAAGUUUUAAGUCCUUUUUCAAUAGACUGAAUGUUGAUGUAAGUAGGGAAGAAAGCCCAUAGAGGUUCCUGGCUCUUCUGCUGUAAACUGGAGGUCUCAGCUGAGAAAAAAGUUUUCAAUAAAUGCUUUCAUGCUCAGAUCACUGUAA
Long non-coding RNA from Mastomys coucha (southern multimammate mouse), 780 nucleotides. RefSeq lists it as uncharacterized. The record is from RefSeq and is a predicted model, not a curated record. NCBI's taxonomy places the organism in Eukaryota, Metazoa, Chordata, Mammalia, Rodentia, Muridae. The transcript is spliced from 3 exons.